GGCAGUGUGGUCUAGUGGAAAGAUCACAGGCCUGGGAUUCAAAGGAUCUGGGUUGCAAUCCCAGCUCUGCCG
Molecule: transfer RNA, 72 nt
Filed under: Ornithorhynchus anatinus (platypus)
Lineage: Eukaryota; Metazoa; Chordata; Mammalia; Monotremata; Ornithorhynchidae
Rfam family: tRNA
About the family: Transfer RNA (tRNA) molecules are approximately 80 nucleotides in length. Their secondary structure includes four short double-helical elements and three loops (D, anti-codon, and T loops).
Source: Rfam by way of RNAcentral